RNAcentral lists this ribosomal RNA (497 nucleotides) under uncultured bacterium. RNAcentral describes it as "partial 16S ribosomal RNA". It matches the Rfam family "Bacterial small subunit ribosomal RNA", at positions 28 to 507 of the family's 1533-position model. The record is from RNAcentral.
GAUGAACGCUGGCGGCGUGCCUAAUACAUGCAAGUCGAGCGAACGGACGAGAAGCUUGCUUCUCUGAUGUUAGCGGCGGACGGGUGAGUAACACGUGGAUAACCUACCUAUAAGACUGGGAUAACUUCGGGAAACCGGAGCUAAUACCGGAUAAUAUUUUGAACCGCAUGGUUCAAAAGUGAAAGACGGUCUUGCUGUCACUUAUAGAUGGAUCCGCGCUGCAUUAGCUAGUUGGUAAGGUAACGGCUUACCAAGGCAACGAUGCAUAGCCGACCUGAGAGGGUGAUCGGCCACACUGGAACUGAGACACGGUCCAGACUCCUACGGGAGGCAGCAGUAGGGAAUCUUCCGCAAUGGGCGAAAGCCUGACGGAGCAACGCCGCGUGAGCGAUGAAGGUCUUCGGAUCGUAAAGCUCUGUUAUUAGGGAAGAACAUAUGUGUAAGUAACUGUGCACAUCUUGACGGUACCUAAUCAGAAAGCCACGGCUAACUACGUG